RNAcentral lists this long non-coding RNA (2014 nucleotides) under Sus scrofa (pig). RNAcentral describes it as "lncRNA (ENSSSCG00015054646.1)". The record is from RNAcentral. Lineage: Eukaryota; Metazoa; Chordata; Mammalia; Artiodactyla; Suidae.
GGAUUGCCUAUUGUGGGUCAGUGGUUUACCCUUGUAUCCAUGAGGAUGAGGGUUCGAUCCCUGGCCUUGCUCACUAGGUUAAGGAUCUAGCAUUGCCGUGAGCUAUGGUGUAGGUCACAGACGCAACUUGGAUCCCUCAUUGCUGUGGCUGUGGUAUCGGCUGGCAGCUAUAGCUCCAGUUUUACCCCUAGCCUGGGAACUUCCCAUAUGCUGCAAGUGGCAGCCCUAAAAAGGCUAAAUAAAUACCAGAAAAGUCCUGAGGUGCUGUAAAUGUAGACACAGGUGUAUGCAUUAGAGCAGAUGGAGAGUUGAUACUCCUCUGUGGACCUAACCUUUGUCCGCUAAGGACACUGCUCCACCUACCACCCUUCCCAGUAGCAGCACUGGAGUAUUCCUUGCCCUGCAAACCUAGGUUCAGGAUAUGGGCUUGUUGUGCGCUGCUUGUCCUUGCUCCCUCCGCUCCUGUUAAAAUCCCUACUCACUCUGUUGAGGUUUAUGUGAUCCCCUCACUCUUGGUUGUGAUUACCUAAGGGCUUGAUUACUACCCAUCCUCUUCAAUUAUACCCACCUUCCUCUUCCUCUACACUUUAUCCUAAAUCAUUUCAGCGUUUGUGUGAUUUACUCAUCUGUGCUGGAAGUCCCCAAGAUAACCAUACUCAUGGCUAUGAUUUCUUCCGGCGAAAAGAUGCAAAGCAAAAUCGGCAAAGGAAAAGACACAUAGGCAAAGUCUGGAGUAAACCAGGCUCAGAAUUUCCAAAGUGGAGUCACAAAGGAGGCACUUCAUUUCCCUGGACGAGUUGUUCCAACAUGUGUGGAAUGUUGUCUACCAGGGAAGCUCAUCAGAGACUCUAGGCCCAGCGUUUGGAUCAGGGGCUGAUUAUGUAGGCGCCUUCUGCUUGGCACAUACCAAAAUCCCAAACUCCCAGAAGUAAAUUAGUACAAGUAAACCGCAUUGAUUGUACAAACAGUUUCGGCACAGUGAAUGAUUUUUAUCAGUUCUGGGAAUGAUGGAAACCCUCAAAUCCAAGUUUCUAGCUGCCAGCCCAGGUCUAACUUGUAAGCAGACUUUAUAAAAGAUAAAAGGCCUGCUGUGUUAAUUCUGGACCCAUCCCACACCUUAGUUCCUAUUCCUUUCCCUUUGACCUUUUCUUCUCAGCUCCUCCCACCCAAACCUGUUGUCGUACCUGGACCUUGUCCAUCAACCUCAGCUGCACCAUCUCUGAAUCACGGAUUUGGCUGAUCUUCCAACCACCUUGCUUAAAUACAUACAGGAGUUCCCACUGGGGCUCAAUGGGUUAAGAACCCAGUAUAGUGUUGGUGGGGAUGCAGGUUCAAUCCCUGGCCUCACUCAGUGGUUUAAGGGUCCAGUGUUGCCACAAGCUGUAGUGUGGGUCACGGAUGUGGCUCCGAUCAGGCACUGCCAUAGCUGUGGUGUAGGCUGGCAGGUGCAGCUCUGAUUGGACCCCUUGACUGGGAACUUCCAGGGGCAGCCGGAAAAAAAAGAAAUACACACAAACCAGUGACCUAACCAGUCCUUUGCUUAGUAAUUGCUUUUGACUUGGUGCAGACCUUCAGGUCAGGAAUCUUUCUAGAAACUGAAUUCAUUAGCUCCUAUCUUUUGCUUUCCCUACCACCAACUCCAAGCCAGCCUAGACUCCUUGAUCCAUCAUUUUACAAAUACCUGAAACUCCUUUCUCCUGUCUUGAACUUUGUGUGCUCCUGCCUUAAGAAACUCAACCCAUGGAGUUCCCGUCAUGGCUCAGUGGUCAACGAAUCCAACUAGGAACCAUGAGGUUGCGGGUUCGAUCCCUGGCCUUGCUCAGUGGGUUGGGGAUCCAGCAUUGCUGUGAGCUGUGGUGUAGGUUGCAGACACGGCUCGGAUCCCUGAGUUGCUGUGGCUGUGGUGUAGGCCGGCAGCUACAGCUCCGAUUCGACCCCUAGCCUGAAAACCUCCAUAUGCCGAGGGAGUGGCCCAAGAAAUGGCAAAAAGACAAAAAAAAAGAAAAAAAAAAAA